GAUGAACGCUGGCGGCGUGCCUAAUACAUGCAAGUCGAGCGAACAGACGAGGAGCUUGCUCCUCUUACGUUAGCGGCGGACGGGUGAGUAACACGUGGAUACCUACCUAUAAGACUGGGAUAACUCCGGGAAACCGGAGAUAAUACCGGAUAAUAUAUUGAACCGCAUGGCUCAAUAGUAAAAGACGGUUUUGCUGUCACUUAUAGAUGGAUCCGCGCCGCAUUAGCUAGUUGGUAAGGUAACGGCUUACCAAGGCGACGAUGCGUAGCCGACCUGAGAGGGUGAUCGGCCACACGGGAACUGAGACACGGUCCAGACUCCUACGGGAGGCAGCAGUAGGGAAUCUUCCGCAAUGGGCGAAAGCCUGACGGAGCAACGCCGCGUGAGUGAUGAAGGUCUUCGGAUCGUAAAACUCUGUUAUUAGGGAAGAACAAAUGUGUAAGUAACUAUGCACGUCUUGACGGUACCUAAUCAGAAAGCCACGGCUAACUACGUG
This 496-nucleotide ribosomal RNA is filed under the name uncultured bacterium. Its description in RNAcentral is "partial 16S ribosomal RNA". It matches the Rfam family "Bacterial small subunit ribosomal RNA", at positions 28 to 507 of the family's 1533-position model. The record is from RNAcentral.